RNAcentral lists this ribosomal RNA (466 nucleotides) under uncultured bacterium. RNAcentral describes it as "partial 16S ribosomal RNA". It matches the Rfam family "Bacterial small subunit ribosomal RNA", at positions 28 to 507 of the family's 1533-position model. The record is from RNAcentral.
GACGAACGCUGGCGGCGUGCUUAACACAUGCAAGUCGUGCGGUAAGGCCCUUUCGGGGGUCCACGAGCGGCGAACGGGUGAGUAACACGUUAGCAACCUGCCCUUCACUUUUGGAUAACUGCCGGAAACGGUGGCUAAUACCGGAUAUGACUUCCUCACGCAUGUGGGGUGGUGGAAAGCCUUCGGGUGGUGGGGGAUGGGCUCGCGGCCUAUCAGCUUGUUGGUGGGGUGAUGGCCUACCAAGGCUUCGACGGGUAGCCGGCCUGAGAGGGUGACCGGCCACACUGGGACUGAGACACGGCCCAGACUCCUACGGGAGGCAGCAGUGGGGAAUAUUGGACAAUGGGCGAAAGCCUGAUCCAGCAACGCCGCGUGAGGGAUGACGGCCUUCGGGUUGUAAACCUCUUUCGCCUGCGACGAAGCGAGAGUGACGGUAGCAGGUAAAGAAGCACCGGCCAACUACGUG